UCCCUAAAAGCCAUCCCAGUUCGGAUCGCAGGCUGCAACCCGCCUGCGUGAAGUUGGAAUCGCUAGUAAUCGCGGAUCAGCAUGCCGCGGUGAAUACGUUCCCGGGCCUUGUACACACCGCCCGUCACACCAUGAGAGUCGGGAACACCCGAAGUCCGUAGCCUAACCGGAAGGGGGCGCGGCCGAAGGUGGGUUCGAUAAUUGGGGUGAAGUCGUAACAAGGUACC
Molecule: ribosomal RNA, 227 nt
Filed under: uncultured bacterium
Lineage: Bacteria
Description: partial 16S ribosomal RNA
Rfam family: Bacterial small subunit ribosomal RNA
Source: RNAcentral